UGUUUGAUGUUCUAACGUGGACCCGUGAUCCGGGUUGCGGACAGUGUCUGGUGGGUAGUUUGACUGGGGCGGUCUCCUCCUAAAGAGUAACGGAGGAGCACGAAGGUUGGCUAAUCCUGGUCGGACAUCAGGAGGUUAGUGCAAUGGCAUAAGCCAGCUUGACUGCGAGCGUGACGGCGCGAGCAGGUGCGAAAGCAGGUCAUAGUGAUCCGGUGGUUCUGAAUGGAAGGGCCAUCGCUCAACGGAUAAAAGGUACUCCGGGGAUAACAGGCUGAUACCGCCCAAGAGUUCAUAUCGACGGCGGUGUUUGGCACCUCGAUGUCGGCUCAUCACAUCCUGGGGCUGAAGUAGGUCCCAAGGGUAUGGCUGUUCGCCAUUUAAAGUGGUACGCGAGCUGGGUUUAGAACGUCGUGAGACAGUUCGGUCCCUAU
Molecule: ribosomal RNA, 431 nt
Filed under: Shigella sonnei
Lineage: Bacteria; Pseudomonadati; Pseudomonadota; Gammaproteobacteria; Enterobacterales; Enterobacteriaceae
Description: partial 23S ribosomal RNA
Rfam family: Bacterial large subunit ribosomal RNA
Source: RNAcentral